This 1049-nucleotide long non-coding RNA is filed under the name Cottoperca gobio. RNAcentral's name for it is "lncRNA (ENSCGOG00000011387.1)". Lineage: Eukaryota; Metazoa; Chordata; Actinopteri; Perciformes; Bovichtidae. The record is from RNAcentral.
CUGUGGACCAGACUUUUUCUGAUGAGGAAGAUGAGCAACCGAGCCGGAAGCGCAGGCAGCUUCACACCCUGAGCCCAGAACCUCCUGAGCAGGAAUAAAAGCAGCUUUAGGUCCUGAGGUCAUCACAGUGUGUCUUCACACUGACAGUAAUGAAGCCGUGGAGACGUACUCAGGGUCUUUACGUGACCAUACUACCUUUGACUUCUGGACCUUCCUGCUGUCUUUUAUGAUUUUGAUGAUACCUAAACGCCUGCUGAAGACCACGGGUGGCCUCCUGGAUAAUCCCACAACACGCGCUUGCAGGUUUAAUAAUCCCCACAGGAAUGUCACACUGUCUCCUCUAUACAUCCCAUAAAUAAGGCAUGUUAUAAAGGGAAGACCCGAUCAGUUUCUAAGAAACAUUUACAGAUAAGUGCAUGAUAAUGUACGAUGGAGGAUGAGACCAAGUUUAGGAAACUACACUGAAUAUUUCUGUCAGUGGUUCCACUCAGAAUAUUAUAGCAUGCAGAAUAUUCUAAAUUUGGCCUAUUUGUGCUGUUUCCUUAUUACAUUUGUCUAAUUUAAAAGACAUUUUAAAUGUUUUAUUCUGUCAAUCAGUUGAUUCAAGAAUUUUUAUUUGAUUUUAUAUAUAACACAUGGAAAGAAGAGGAAAUGAUAUUUUAAUCUGAAAUAAUUGUGAAAUAUUGUAAAUGUUUUCUGGGUUCAUAUCUAUUGUGAGAUAUCUUACAAGACGAGGCAUGUUAACUUCAACCUGACUUGAAUAAGCAUUUAACUCUUUGUUUUUAACCAUAUGCAUUUCCCAAGAGACACACAUGUAGAGGAACAUCCAAUUUGUGAAUAAAAUUAUUCAGAUUAUUUAAGAUGCAAACCAUGAUGUGUCAUGGAGUUUACACGGGACAUGUUUCUGUCAUGAGAGGUUUUAUACUGUACAGUGAAAACAUGUCAACAUAAAGAGGUUUUCAUUGUAGUGGUGUACACUAAGAAUAAGUUGUUAGCAUGAAGAAUCGUGAUCCUAAUAAGAAUGUAAUACUUCAGAAUGAUUAUUAAUA